GACGGAGGAUGCAAGUGUUAUCCGGAAUCACUGGGCGUAAAGCGUCUGUAGGUGGUUUAAUAAGUCAACUGUUAAAUCUUGAGGCUCAACCUCGAAACCGCAGUCGAAACUAUUAGACUAGAGUAUAGUAGGGGUAAAGGGAAUUUCCAGUGGAGCGGUGAAAUGCGUAGAGAUUGGAAAGAACACCGAUGGCGAAGGCACUUUACUGGGCUAUUACUAACACUGAGAGACGAAAGCUAGGGGAGCAAACAGG
Molecule: ribosomal RNA, 253 nt
Filed under: uncultured bacterium
Lineage: Bacteria
Description: partial 16S ribosomal RNA
Rfam family: Bacterial small subunit ribosomal RNA
Source: RNAcentral